CUGGAGUGUCUACUUCCUCUCUUAAACUGUGAGCUCCACCAGGGCCACCACUGUGUCUUAAUCACCUAUUCCUCCCACUAAGUGGGUACCAGAUACUCAGCAGGUACUCAAUAAACGUCCGAUGAGUACCAAAUGAAGAGAUGUGGUAAUGUAUAUUAAUUAUGGCUCUUAAGGUAGGUUUCUAGGGUGGGUUUUUGCAGUCUUCCAGCAGGAGAAGAAGACUUUGACGAGGACAGGUUCACAGGUAUGUUUAUCAAGCACAGCGAUCCAGGGAUUAGAAGACACCUGACUAGGGAGGGAAAUCUCCUUAGCAGUUCUAGGCGCGGCACGGAGAGAGGUGUGGAAGGGGGCAUGAAACAACACCUCCUUCGCUUUCAGUGUCCCAGCAAAGGAACCAGAAAUCCAAUCACAGGAAUGACCGAGGGGGCGAGAAGUCCAACCAGGGAGAGGGAAUAUUUAAGGGCAUUGUCCUUAAAUAUUAUGGGCCCAAUAUUUAAGGGCUGUUUUCAGAUGUUGAAUGGCAAUUGUGUAAGUGAGAGGGUGGAUUUGUUCUGGGUUUCUCCAUCUUGCAGAACAAGGACCAAUGGUGAUGAAGAUGCGGGUAUAACGUAAGGAAGAACCGUUGAAAAACUCCUCUGUCUUGGAGCGCAGUCCGCUGCCUCUAAAGCACGCCAUCCUGCCCCUGGCCGGGGGGCCCUGCCGAUGUCAGAGGCUGGAGAGGACACCUCACUCACAGAGCCCAUUAGACCAGACAUGCUUUUGCCCCUUCUAGCUUUGGGACUUCUGGCUUGACAAUUUAGGAGAAGACAAAUACUGAGCAAAGAUAACCAACGCCCUGAAGAAGCCCCCCGUUGCUGUCACACUGGAGCCCAGCUGAAGACAUUCCGUCUGUAAGUACCAGGCAGGCUCUAGGGUGCUGGAUGGAGCAGAAUGGAGCAGCCAGUUUACAGAGGAGACGAGCAAAGCAGUCAACAAACCAAAACCGAAAGGAACGCCUCCAGGGAACAAGAACAGAAAGCAGAGAAUCCAAAUCAGUCACGGGUUCUCCUUGUUGGCAAAUCUGGAAAGGUGAGCUGAGAUGCAGGAAUUGACCCACGGGAGUUCAGUGAUGUGAUGGAGGGAGUGAAUAUGCAGCAAAAUGAAAACUUCUAAAACCCACGAACUCAUGAAUGCAACACAUCAAAAAAAGUCCUCUUUCUCUCUUGAGGCAGAUUUUAUAAGGCAGACUUUCUGGGGGAGUCCCAAUUAUAGGUACUUUCAUUCUUUUCCAAAAGGCUAUUUAAAAUGUGUAAGUAUAUAGAUUUAUUUGUAUUCCUUUAUUAAGGCUUACAAAAAAUAAAUUCCUAAGUCAAAAGUGACUUCUUUUCUUUAAAGCGUGUUUUCGAUUUCUUUGUCAGGCUGUAGUUUUGGUUUGUAAAACACAGUCACCAUAGCCACAUUCUUCUCAAAAAGGGUAGGUGGUUGUGGCUUUGGA
This 1474-nucleotide long non-coding RNA is filed under the name Equus caballus (horse). RNAcentral's name for it is "lncRNA (ENSECAG00000055817.1)". The record is from RNAcentral. Lineage: Eukaryota; Metazoa; Chordata; Mammalia; Perissodactyla; Equidae.